Molecule: long non-coding RNA, 767 nt
Organism: Prionailurus viverrinus (fishing cat)
Lineage: Eukaryota; Metazoa; Chordata; Mammalia; Carnivora; Felidae
Exons: 4
Source: RefSeq, a predicted model, not a curated record
CCACGUUGACCACUAAGGAUGGGAGGAAAAUGUUCUGCUACUAUUUGAGGCCGACGCUUUUGCCAAAAUGUUCAUAACGAAAAUAACGGUUCAUACCAGUCAGGUCAUUUCAAUGGUAGUUCCCUCUGCCCUGAAAAAUUAGAAGAGAAGUGUACUAUCCUCCCUGUCUUGUGAGUUGCUGACUGUCAAGAAUGGAAAGAAUUUGAAAAAGCAGCUGAGAAAAUCAUCCCUUACCCCAUUUUCAGGUAAAAUCACACCAGUUUUCCUUGGGAGAUGAACUCUCCAUCACUGAAUGAAUACUUGAUGACCUACCCUACUGAAUUAAAGGUGUGGAAAGUAACAUGAGCCAGACCAGUUUUACAGAUGGAAACACUGAAUCUCCAAAAGGUGGUGAAAGCAGCCCACGGUCCCACCUUAGGAGGUUAGAAGGAGGCACACACCUGCCUGCCCCCGGAAUGGACACUCUCCGUCGCACCCAGACACUGCCUCCACCGACGCGGAACACAUACAGGACCCGCAGUAGUUUCGGUUACAUAUAAGGUAGGUUAUAAAAACGUCAUUUAGUGCCCUGUAAUAUGCAUUCUAUAGCCUUGUGAUGGGGAAUGAAUGUGCAGAGCCAAGGAAGUCGUGUACAUUUUGAAAUGAUCUUCCUGGGAAGAAGCACACCGUUUGUCAAUAUCAAAUCUUAUCUCGUUUGAAGUUCCCAGACUCUCUGGAGCUCUAAUAAGAAGUAGCUUGCUAAUCUUUGAAAUACAAAUGCUGAUCAG